UUACCAAUAUAAUUACAAUAAUGUGAUGAUUUAUUUUUCAAAGAUUAAAGCCUUUAUCGAGCCUAGGAGUUUGGAUAGUGAUAAUAAAUAGUGUUAUUGUAGUAACUCUUUUAGAUACUAUAGUCUGUUUUAGAAAAUAGGUUCUUAAUACUGCUGACAAGAGAUGUUUGGGUUAAAAAAUGUUUUGUCUGUAAUGCUGCUCAGUUUUUGUUUAUUUUAAUUUUUAAAUAUAUUUAAACAAUGCUUAGAAAGCAUUUGUGUAUAAUUUGAUCUAGACACAAAUCUGAAAACUUAAGAGAAUGACCUGCCCAAAAUUCAUUAAAACAACUAUUUCAUAUGCUGAAGUGAUUUUCUUUUUCAUUUAUUAUUAGUAAGAAUAUGUAAAACGUAACUUUAACUGAUUAAAAAAGCUGAAUAAUAGUUCAAAACGCACUGAUUAGUCAUCAAAAUAAUCGAUGAUCAGUUGAUGGUCUAAUAAUCGAUAGAUUAUUCGAUUAUCAAAAUAAUAGUUUAUUGCAGCCCUAAUUAAAAAUUAUAAUAAUGCAUAAUGCUAUUGUGAAUUCACAAACACUGAUUCAACUCAAUAAAUAUAUGCAGUGUCAAUUUCAGUUAGAAUAACUUAUAGCUAAUGAUGAAAUCUUUUAUAUUAGUAAUUAUGAAUAUGAAAAAGCAGCCAUUUUGAAACAAAGCAUUACCAAAUUCUCUCAACUUAAGCACUUUAUUAAAAUUAUACUGUUUAUCUGUAAAGAUUUACUUGACAUGAUAUUUUGUAGUGAUUCGGAGUCAUCGGAGAAGAGGACCAAAUCCUCUAAAAGAUGCAGAAAUCCAUAAACAAAAGGGCAAGGACAAAGACAACAUAACCAGAAAAUAUAUUAAUCCCAUCAAAGCUCGUCCAUGAGCUUGUCGUUUCAGGAAGUGAAGUCACAUCUCCUAAAGAGCUUGUCCAUGAGCCUGUCGUUUCAGGAAGUGAAGUCACAUCCCCCAAAGAGGUUUGUUAAUAAUUUUGUCAAAUUUGUGUCACACGUGUUAUAAUUUGAUCACGUACAAUAGUCACAUGUGUCCUCAUAAACCAUGAGUAAACACACACAAGUGUUGUAAAG
Non-coding RNA from Misgurnus anguillicaudatus (oriental weatherfish), 1100 nucleotides. Lineage: Eukaryota; Metazoa; Chordata; Actinopteri; Cypriniformes; Cobitidae. The record is from RefSeq and is a predicted model, not a curated record.